AUUGAACGCUGGCGGCAUGCUUUACACAUGCAAGUCGAACGGCAGCGCGGGCUUCGGCCUGGCGGCGAGUGGCGAACGGGUGAGUAAUGCAUCUGAACGUGCCCCGUCGUGGGGGAUAGCCCGGCGAAAGCCGGAUUAAUACCGCAUACGACCUGAGGGUGAAAGCGGGGGACCGAAAGGCCUCGCGCUAUUGGAGCGGCCGAUGUCGGAUUAGCUAGUUGGUGGGGUAAAGGCUUACCAAGGCGACGAUCCGUAGCUGGUCUGAGAGGACGACCAGCCACACUGGGACUGAGACACGGCCCAGACUCCUACGGGAGGCAGCAGUGGGGAAUUUUGGACAAUGGGGGCAACCCUGAUCCAGCCAUGCCGCGUGCGGGAAGAAGGCCUUCGGGUUGUAAACCGCUUUUGUUCGGGAAGAAAUCCUCUGGGCUAAUACCCCGGGGGGAUGACGGUACCGGAAGAAUAAGCACCGGCUAACUACGUG
This 484-nucleotide ribosomal RNA is filed under the name uncultured bacterium. Its description in RNAcentral is "partial 16S ribosomal RNA". It matches the Rfam family "Bacterial small subunit ribosomal RNA", at positions 28 to 507 of the family's 1533-position model. The record is from RNAcentral.